Molecule: long non-coding RNA, 1038 nt
Filed under: Homo sapiens (human)
Lineage: Eukaryota; Metazoa; Chordata; Mammalia; Primates; Hominidae
Description: HSALNT0274358
Source: RNAcentral
CUUUUGGUUCUAACAAGAGUUUUUGUUUUGCUUUUUAAUAAAGAAGAGAAAGGGGUUCCUUGGUUUUCUCCACAGAUGAAUGUUUUUACAAAAAAAGAGUAGUUUUGGAUGUAUACAUGCCACUUAGGAAAACCUUUUGUCCUUGAUCGCUUUUAAAACCCUUUUUUGGACAUCAUCAGGUCAUUUUGCGUAUUUUUGUGGACUGGCUGAUUUCCCCUGUGUUUUUGCCAGGUGACCGCUCUCCUUUUCAAUUUCCCCUCCCAGAAAGCAACUCGUAGGGAAGGGAGGGCCUUGAAAAGUGCCAUCGGCAGGAUGGCCUCCAAGGAAACAGAGCCCGUGGGAGUGGGCUCUGAAGGUGGGUGGCCCCAUGGGACAGGAGUGCCUGGUGGCCCUGGUUUCCCCUUGGAGACAUCUAUGCAGACUGGAAACGAAGAAACAGAAGGAGGCACGGAGUCGCUUUCUCUUAUAUUGUGGAUAUUUUAUCCCUGUCUUUCACAGCAGCAAUUUUAAUAAACAGAGGCCUCUGAAGUGUAAGUUAGCAGCCCUCACCCCGACAAGCUUCUAAAGACCAAAAAUACCUCUAUCCUCCACUACAUAAAGCUUGUGAGUAGCAAAACUUGUAAAAAUGAAGUGUACAAAAGGAAACAUCCGUAUAAUACAUUUGCACCCUGUAUACAAUGGGUCCCUUUGAAACUGGCCAACAGUCAGCGAUGGCAGAUUUUCAAUCAUAGAAAAAGAAGCCAGUGGCUGUCAUGCGCACUCAGGUCAAUGGUUUGUGUGGGUUCUCCAGAGAGAGAGAUUUUCCUUUACAGUUACAGUACUUGCUGGCGAUCUUGCUGAUUAAAAGGCCAGUUGAAUUUCCUGGCAUUUAGGCAAGUAACAUUUGAUUGUCACAACGUACAAUUCUGAGACAAUAAAUACAAGUAGAUCAGAUGCAUUUCUUCAUUGUAUCAAGUAACUCCAGUUUAAUGUAAUACAAUUUAGUGCAUUUCAGUAUCUCAUUCACAGUUCGACUUCUGUCCAAAUACUUGUGCAACA